RNAcentral lists this ribosomal RNA (497 nucleotides) under uncultured bacterium. RNAcentral describes it as "partial 16S ribosomal RNA". It matches the Rfam family "Bacterial small subunit ribosomal RNA", at positions 28 to 507 of the family's 1533-position model. The record is from RNAcentral.
GAUGAACGCUGGCGGCGUGCCUAAUACAUGCAAGUCGAGCGAACAGAUGAGGAGCUUGCUCCUCUGACGUUAGCGGCGGACGGGUGAGUAACACGUGGAUAACCUACCUAUAAGACUGGGAUAACUUCGGGAAACCGGAGCUAAUACCGGAUAAUAUAUUGAACCGCAUGGUUCAAUAGUGAAAGACGGUUUUGCUGUCACUUAUAGAUGGAUCCGUGCCGCAUUAGCUAGUUGGUAAGGUAACGGCUUACCAAGGCAACGAUGCGUAGCCGACCUGAGAGGGGGAUCGGCCACACUGGAACUGAAACACGGUCCAGACUCCUACGGAAGGCAGCAGUAGGGAAUCUUCCGCAAUGGGCGAAAGCCUGACGGGGCAACGCCGCGUGAGUGAUGAAGGUCUUCGGAUCGUAAAACUCUGUUAUUAGGGAAAAACAAAUGUGUAAGUAACUAUGCACGUCUUGACGGUACCUAAUCAGAAAGCCACGGCUAACUACGUG